This is a long non-coding RNA of Papaver somniferum (opium poppy), 2052 nucleotides long. RefSeq lists it as uncharacterized. The transcript has 4 exons. NCBI's taxonomy places the organism in Eukaryota, Viridiplantae, Streptophyta, Magnoliopsida, Ranunculales, Papaveraceae. The record is from RefSeq and is a predicted model, not a curated record.
CUCUUGGCGUUUCAAGUUUCUUUCCCAGGCGUUACGCUUAGCUAAUCAAUUGAAAAAUUAAAUUUCAUUUAUGGAUCGGAAAACAAAUAGUAUAAAUAUGACUCUGGCUAUGUCUCUCCGUUGAAAUCAGUACACCUUCUUGGGUUUCUCUACUUCUUAAUGUUCUCUGCUAGAUUUGUGAUUUAUAACAACGCUCAAUUCUUAAGGAGUGAAAACAUUAUGUUCUCUUCCGUAUUCAAUCUCAACUUAAAUUUAAUUUAUGAAGCGACCAACAACGAGUGAGUAAACCGGGGUUAAGGUUGAUUCGAUGUCAAAUUAAAUUUGAUUUCUGAAAAGGAAAAGGUAUUCCUCACAUGAAACAUUUUUUUCGAAUGAUAAGAUGGAGUCAAGGAUUUCGGGUUGCGCAUUGUCGAAUUUGAUACGGGCUUCGAAAUAACAUGAACCAUGAUUCGAGAUAACAUCUUUGUGUUCUUCCACUACGGAUACACUAAAUCAAGUAAAUACUUAAAAUUCUACUAUUUAUGGAUUUGAAAUUUUGCUCACUUCAAUAUAGGUAAAAUUUUCCAGAUUUUGAAUUUCCGAAGCAAGGGUGUAAAAAUUUUUCCACCUAAUGAUUCUUUUUUUUGUAUGAAUCAUCGAAAAAUGCCCUGUACAUAGUAUGUUGUGAAUGUUGUACAAAUUUGUAACAUAGUGUUGAAUCCUUUAUAUCUUUCCUAAACAGUGAUCAUAAACCCCUAAACUAUGUUGAAUCAGAUGAAGAACCAAUACUGUUUUUCUGAGAAGCAGACUUUGUACAGAUGUACACGUAUCUAGAUGAAUAUUGCAACUAUAUUCCUAAUUAAUGUUGAGGAGAAGUUACAAGAAGUUGAUGAGUAGAAGCAGGGAGGGAGUUGAGGAUCGAUUAAAGGGUCUGCACUAUUAAGAAAGACAGUAUUUAAUUUAACACUAUUUGUGAUUUAGUUCUCCUCCUUUGCAGGAUGCACUAUUAAGAAAGACAGGAUCCGCAAAUAUGCAGUGAGAAAAAGCUUAAGUCCUUCAAUUUCAGAUGAUCAUAUUGAUUUGUUAUCAUGUAUCUUUUAUAUUUGCACGACUGUGCUUAGUAUCCCAUCAAAUAUUUCUAGCCCAAUUGUGAAAAAUGCUUAAUUUUGUGGGGUUAACAACUAUGUUUGGUGGUAUAGUCUUACCAUUUGUUCGGUACCUUCGAAUUCAUGACAGUAAACAUCAAUGCUUAGUGGUUACGACCACUAAUACGUCAAUUCCCUUUUUUUGGGUUACACCACUAUUCAGGUUCCUCUUUUAAGUAUUCUUUUUUCUUUUGUGGGGUGUUCAUAUAUAGUUACCUCGAAAAGGCUCAUAUCUAUGCACAAGAUGUUGCAAGAGGGAGAUCGUAACUCCAACGAUGGUUCAAGUCCACAAAGAUUACUUUAGGCUUAGUGUUUUGGAUAUGCUACUGAACCAAAAUGUCCACAAGACUAGGUCGAAGGCCGAGAUAAAAGGUAUAUAAUGACCAUAGAGCGGUAUGGGAAAAACAAGAUAACAGUGGACCGAAUACAUACUCGGCAACGAGUUCAACUUACGGGUUAAACAUUGCACCAUACCCGCAUGGGAAGGUCAAUUGAAUCCCAAAUGGAAGAUGGGAUUAGGUGGCAGGUGAAUUUUUCAGGAUUUGCAGCUGAAUGAAUAACUAUCCCAGUUUAAGGUACAAUGCAGGUUACUACUAAGAGAGUGUUGGAAUUUAUAGCAAUAUGCAUUGGAUGAAUAACUAUUUCCAAAAUAUGAGUGCAGCAUUGGGGUUUAGGUUUUACCAUACUACACUAAAUACAAAAAAAAAAAUCUGCUUUUUUGUUGCUGGGACAAAUUUUUUUUUCCCUUACUUUUUUCUUUUUUGUUGCUGGAACAGAAUUUUUAUAAAGGAUCGGAGAGGUUUCAACUUUCUGACCACAUGCUGUUGGUUUCAACUUUCUGACCACAUGCUGUUAGUAUAAGCACUAUCUUUUGUCUGACUCUUAACAUUGUAUUUGUUGUUGUCACUUGAUAAAUUAAAUAAUACUG